GCUGGGCAUGAUGGUGCAUGCCUAUAAUCCCAGUGACUUGGGAGGCUGAGGCUGGAGGAUCACAAAUUUAAGGAUAGCCUCAGCAAUUUGGUGAGACUCUGUCUCAA
This 107-nucleotide small RNA is filed under the name Marmota monax (woodchuck). Lineage: Eukaryota; Metazoa; Chordata; Mammalia; Rodentia; Sciuridae. The record is from RNAcentral.